Gorilla gorilla gorilla (western lowland gorilla) is the source of this 81-nucleotide microRNA precursor. The record is from Ensembl. Lineage: Eukaryota; Metazoa; Chordata; Mammalia; Primates; Hominidae.
UAGAGGCAGUUUCAACAGAUGUGUAGACUUUUGAUAUGAGAAAUUGGUUUCAAAAUCAGGAGUCGGGGCUUUACUGCUUUU